Molecule: ribosomal RNA, 861 nt
Filed under: uncultured Neocallimastigales
Lineage: Eukaryota; Fungi; Neocallimastigomycota; Neocallimastigomycetes; Neocallimastigales
Description: partial large subunit ribosomal RNA
Rfam family: Eukaryotic large subunit ribosomal RNA
Source: RNAcentral
CGCAUCUGUGCAUGCAGCAUAUCAAUAAGCGGAGGAAAAGAAACUAACAAGGAUUCCCUUAGUAACGGCGAGUGAAGCGGGAAGAGCUCAAAUUUGAAAUCUUCAAGGUUUUACCUUGACGAAUUGUAGUUUAAAGAAGUGUUUUCUGUUGAAGUUUUGGUAAAAGUUCUUUGGAAUAGGACAUCAUAGAGGGUGAGAAUCCCGUAUUUGACCAUUAUUUUCAGCUGUGUGAUACACUUUCAAAGAGUCGGAUUGUUUGGGAAUGCAGUCCAAAAUGGGUGGUAAAUUUCAUCUAAAGCUAAAUAUUGGCGAGAGACCGAUAGCGAACAAGUACCGUGAGGGAAAGAUGAAAAGAACUUUGAAAAGAGAGUUAAACAGUACGUGAAAUUGUCAAAAGGGAAGCGUUUGACACCAGUGUUGUUUUCUCGAAAAUCAAUUAAAAAGAGUUAGAUUUUGUUGUGUAUUGACCUUAACAGCUUGCAUUUCAAUUUUCUUGCUUUUUUUAAUGCACUUUUCGUUUAACAAGUCAACAUCAGUUUCUUUUGUUGUAAAAAGGUCAUUGGAAGGUGGCUUUCUUUUCGGAGAAAGUGUUUAUAGCCUUUGACUCCUGCAAUCGGAGAGACUGAGGUCUGCAGCGUAGAUCCUUCGGGGUUAGAUACAUUUGUGCUAAGUUAUAGCUUUUUAUAGACAACUUGUUGACUAUGAUUAGUCUUGUAGCUUACUCGCUUAUGCUAUUUUACCUACGCUUAGGGUGUUGACACACGCGCGGCUCGGCUCUACACAUGACUCUGCGCAUAUCAAUAAGCGGAGGAAAAGAGGGCUAUUACCUACGCUUAGGAUGUUGAACGCGCGUGUGUGCGU